This 217-nucleotide unclassified non-coding RNA is filed under the name Hevea brasiliensis (rubber tree). The record is from RNAcentral. Lineage: Eukaryota; Viridiplantae; Streptophyta; Magnoliopsida; Malpighiales; Euphorbiaceae.
AAGGAGAACGGCUUUUCUUGUUAUUGCGCAAUCGAAAGCAAUCGCCCAUGUCUUGGCAGUUGAAGAAAAGAGCUUGUAGAUGGAGAGGAAGGGUUGAAAUCUUUUAAGGGGACAAAUGAUGAUGGGUAGCUCCUAUCUGGUUGUACUAAGACGUUCCGUGGAUGUCUAGGUUGGUUUGUUAAGAAUUGCAACAGGCCAAGUUACCUUUCUGUUUCAG